GACGAACGCUGGCGGCGUGCUUAACACAUGCAAGUCGAACGGAAAGGCCCUGCUUUUGUGGGGUGCUCGAGUGGCGAACGGGUGAGUAACACGUGAGUAACCUGCCCUUGACUGUGGGAUAACUUCAGGAAACUGGGGCUAAUACCGGAUAGGAGCUCCUGCUGCAUGGUGGGGGUUGGAAAGUUUCGGCGGUUGGGGAUGGACUCGCGGCUUAUCAGCUUGAUGGUGGGGUAGUGGCUUACCAAGGCUUUGACGGGUAGCCGGCCUGAGAGGGUGACCGGACACGUUAGGACUGGGAUGAGACACAGACUCGUACGGGAGGCAGCAGAGGAGUAGAGUACACUGUGGGCUGAAGGCUGAUGUGACAACGCAGCGUGCGGGGAGACGGGAUGCGGGUUGGAAAGUGCAGUCGCCUGUGACGAGGCGUGAGUGACGGUACCGGGUGAAGAAGCACCGGCUAACUACGUG
Molecule: ribosomal RNA, 468 nt
Filed under: uncultured bacterium
Lineage: Bacteria
Description: partial 16S ribosomal RNA
Rfam family: Bacterial small subunit ribosomal RNA
Source: RNAcentral